This 2337-nucleotide long non-coding RNA is filed under the name Homo sapiens (human). Its description in RNAcentral is "MRPL20 divergent transcript (MRPL20-DT)". Lineage: Eukaryota; Metazoa; Chordata; Mammalia; Primates; Hominidae. The record is from RNAcentral.
AGUUUCUUUAUAACAGUUUAUUAUACUUGGAUAUUUUUUAAAUCAUAGAAGAGUUGGAAUACAAGUACAAGGAAAACUCCCCAGUGUUCACUACCAAAAUGUGCCAGCUGUUUUCAUUUGUUCCAUUUGUUUAAUACUCUCGAACCAAAUUCACCUACUAUUUACGUUUUGCUCCAUUUUUGAAUCAUUCUCUCUGUAAAUAUAAACAUAAUGGAUUUUUUUCCUAAACCAUUUGAGACGCUGGAGACACCUAAACACUUUGCUGUGUAUUUACUCUUAGGAACCACACCGUAGAAUGGUCAAAAUCCGGACCCAGCCCACACUCCAGAUUUAACUCGCUUCAAAUGUCUUUUAUACCUUUUUUUCCCUGUUGAGGAUUCAGUCUAGGAUGACGCACUGCAUUUGUUGUUGUGUUUCUUGUUUUGUUUUGUUUUUUUCUGUUUUUGAGACGGAGUUUUGCUCCGUCGCCCAGUCUGGAGUACAAAGGUGCGAUCUCGGCUGACCGCAACCUCUGCCUACCCGGUUCAAGUGAUUCUCCUGCCUCAGCCUCCCGAGUAUCUGGGAUUACAGGCGCACACCGCCACUCCCAGCUAAUUUUUGUAUUUUUAGUAGAGACGGGAUUUCACAAUGUUGGCCAGGCUGGUCUCGAACUCCCGACCUUAAAUGACCAGGCUGACCAACAUGGUCAGCUACUCAGGAGGCUGAGGCAGGAGAAUCGCUUGAACCCGGGAGGCAGAGUUUGCGGUGAGCCGAGAUCCCGCCAUUCAUUGCACUCCAGCCUCGGAAACUAGCAAAACUCCAUCUUAAAAAAAAAGAGGAGGCCGGGUGCAGUGGCUCUGCACAACACUUUGGGAGGCCGAGGCAGGUGGAUCACCUGAGGUCAGAAAUCCGAGACCAGCCUGGCCAACAUGGUGGAACCCCAUCUCUACUAAAAAUGCAAAAAGUAGCCGGGCGUGGUAGCGGGCCCCAGUAAUCCCAGCUGAGGUGGGAGAAUUGCUUGAACCCGGGAGGCCAAGGCUGCAGUGAGCCAAGAUCGCACCACUGCACUCUAGCGUGGGUGACAGAUCAAGACCUUGUCUCAAAAAACAAGAAGAAGAAAAACUACUUUUUUUUUUUCAGAUGGGGUCUCACUCUCACCCAGUCUGGAGUGCAGUGGCGCCAUCUCAGCUCAUUGCAGCCUCUGCCUCCUGGGCUUGAGUGAUCUUCCCACCUCGACCUCCUGAGUAGCUGAACCACAAGUGCAUGCCUGGCCAAUUUUUGUAUUUUUGGUAGAAAUGGAGUUUCACCAUGUUGCCCAGGCUGGUCUCAAAACUGGCCUCCCAAAGUGCUGGGAUUACAGACACAACUGGCCUACCUGCAGGAUUUUCAGUUUAUGGACAUGACUGACUGGAGACAUGGAGAAGCUGUUGUUAUUGGAGAUUUUUAUUACUCGCAUUUCCUGAGCGAUGGGGACACUCACUGUGGGGAAAAGCAAGAGAGAUCAGAUUGUUACUGUGUCUGUGUAGAAAGAAGUAGACAUAGGAGACUCCAUUUUGUUCUGUACUAAGAAAAAUUCUUCUGCCUUGGGAUCCUGUUGAUCUGUGACCUUACCCCCAACCCCGUGCUCUCUGAAACAUGUGCUACGUCCACUCAGGGUUAAAUGGAUUAAGGGCGGUGCAAGAUGUGCUUUGUUAAACAGAUGCUUGAAGGCAGCACGCUCCUUAAGAGUCAUCACCACUCCCUAAUCUCAAGUACCCAGGGACACAGAAACUGCGGAAGGCCGCAGGGUCCUCUGCCUAGGAAAGCCAGGUAUUGUCCAAGGUUUCUCCCCAUGUGAUAGUCUGAAAUAUGGCCUCGUGGGAAGGGAAAGACCUGACCGUCCCCCAGCCCGACACCCGUAAAGGGUCUGUGCUGAGGAGGAUUAGUAUAAGAGGAAGGAAUGCCUCUUGCAGUUGAGACAAGAGGAAGGCAUCUGUCUCCUGCCUGUCCCUGGGCAAUGGAAUGUCUCAGUAUAAAACCCGAUUGUAUGUUCCAUCUACUGAGAUGGGGAAAAACCGCCUUAGGGCUGGAGGUGGGACCCGCGGGCAGCAAUACUGCUUUGUAAAGCAUUGAGAUGUUUAUGUGUAUGCAUAUCUAAAGCACAGCACUUAAUCCUUUACAUUGUCUAUGAUGCAAAGACCUUUGUUCACGUGUUUGUCUGCUGACCCUCUCCCCACAAUUGUCUUGUGACCGUGACACAUCCCCCUCUUUGAGAAACACCCACAAAUGAUCAAUAAAUACUAAGGGAACGCAGAGGCUGGCGGGAUCCUCCAUGUGCUGAACGCUGGUUCCCCGGGUCCCCUUAUUUCUUUCUCUAUA